Molecule: microRNA precursor, 97 nt
Filed under: Drosophila mojavensis
Lineage: Eukaryota; Metazoa; Arthropoda; Insecta; Diptera; Drosophilidae
Description: microRNA dmo-mir-276b precursor
Gene: dmo-mir-276b
Rfam family: mir-276 microRNA precursor family
Source: miRBase by way of RNAcentral
AACGAAGUCUAUAUACCAUCAGCGAGGUAUAGAGUUCCUACGUGCAAAUUGCAAUAGUCGUAGGAACUUAAUACCGUGCUCUUGGAGGGCUGUCGAC